GGGGGCACCACCAUGGGAGGUGCUAGUGGUGCCGCUGAGAAAACCACUGGCUGCACUGCUAAAGGAGGUACAGAGACAGCCUGAGUAGACUGUGACGCCAUUGUAGGAGGCAUAAGAACAGUCUGGACUACUUGAACAGCGGCUGUCAAAUUCUGGACCUCCUAAAAGAGCAGGUUGAAUUGGUCCACUAUGAUCGAUGCUGGUUGAAUUGGUGGAUGAGUCUCCGUCACUGAUUGCUGCGUCUGGCUAUUGGUCUAGCUCUUCAUCUGAUGGGAGGCGGCGGC
Molecule: long non-coding RNA, 284 nt
Filed under: Elaeis guineensis (African oil palm)
Lineage: Eukaryota; Viridiplantae; Streptophyta; Magnoliopsida; Arecales; Arecaceae
Description: long non-coding RNA (EGUI_LNC004347)
Source: RNAcentral